CCCUUAGAUGUUCUGGGCUGCACGCGCGCUACACUGACGCACGCAACAGGUGCCUGCUCCGAGAGGACUGGGUAAUCAUUUGAGUGUGCGUCGUGAUGGGGAUAGAAUAUUGUAAUUAUUACUCUUCAACGAGGAAUUCCUAGUAAGCGCAAGUCAGCAGCUUGCGCUGAUUACGUCCCUGCCCUUUGUACACACCGCCCGUCGCUCCUACCGAUUGGGUGAGCCGAUGAAACUCUCGGAUGUAGGCUAUUCAUAGCCCGCAGAAGAGAUUUGAAUCGUAGCGCUUAGAGGAAGGAGAAGUCGUAACA
Molecule: ribosomal RNA, 308 nt
Filed under: uncultured eukaryote
Lineage: Eukaryota
Description: partial 18S ribosomal RNA
Rfam family: Eukaryotic small subunit ribosomal RNA
Source: RNAcentral